Molecule: ribosomal RNA, 301 nt
Filed under: uncultured bacterium
Lineage: Bacteria
Description: bacterial SSU rRNA
Rfam family: Bacterial small subunit ribosomal RNA
Source: RNAcentral
UGCUACGUGCGUGCCGGAGGCCGGGGUAAGACGAAGGCUGCAAGCGUUAUCCUGAUUCAUGGGGGUUAAAGGGUGCGUAGGCGGACUUGUAAGUCAGGGGUGAAAUCUCUUUGCUUAACAAAGAAACUGCCAUUGAUACUGCUAGUCUAGAGUAUAGAUGACGUUGGCGGAAUAUGACAUGUAGUGGUGAAAUACUUAGAUAUGUCAUAGAACAUCGAUUGCGAAGGCAGCUGACUGGACCUGAAUUGACGCUGAGGCACGAAAGCGUGGGGAGCGAACAGGAUUAGAUACCCUAGUAGUC